GUGAAAGGGAAGCACUGACCCUCCCUCAUGCACUGACCCAGCUGAGAUUUCUCCAGAGACAGACCUGUAGAAGAGUGGAGGCCAAUCUGCAGUGAGAAGAAAGAAGAAGAUGAGGGGGACUAAGGGAUGUGUGUGUGUGAAAGCCAGGAAGGCUGAAGGGUCAGUCUCUGACUGCGCAUCUCAGGACAGAGAACACAG
RNAcentral lists this long non-coding RNA (198 nucleotides) under Fukomys damarensis (Damara mole-rat). RNAcentral describes it as "lncRNA (ENSFDAG00000030005.1)". The record is from RNAcentral. Lineage: Eukaryota; Metazoa; Chordata; Mammalia; Rodentia; Bathyergidae.